Molecule: non-coding RNA, 45 nt
Filed under: Schistosoma curassoni
Lineage: Eukaryota; Metazoa; Platyhelminthes; Trematoda; Strigeidida; Schistosomatidae
Source: RNAcentral
AUCCAGCUGACGAGUCCCAAAUAUGACAAAACGCACGUCCUGGAU